This 1011-nucleotide ribosomal RNA is filed under the name Phascolosoma esculenta. Its description in RNAcentral is "partial 16S ribosomal RNA". The stretch from base 496 to 656 matches the Rfam family "Archaeal large subunit ribosomal RNA", at positions 1883 to 2090 of the family's 2987-position model. The record is from RNAcentral. Lineage: Eukaryota; Metazoa; Annelida; Sipuncula; Phascolosomatiformes; Phascolosomatidae.
UAACAAGUAAAAACAAAACCAUUUCCUUCUCGAACUUAUUUUGAGCUAGAAGAAUUAUGUUCCAUAGCACCCACCCUAUAGUGUUGCAAUACUAAGGGAAUAAAAACUUCUAGAAGCUACAUACCUAUCGCGAAUAAAGAUAGCUAGUUUUCCUACAAAAUUAAUUUUCGUUAAGCAAACUAUUAAAAACACCCACACUAAAUAAUAGUUUUGUAAAAAAAUUUAGGCCAAUCUAAAUUUCUCCACUCACUAUCUCCCUAAUUUCACCUCCAUAGGCUUCAAACCAGCCAUUAAAAAGAAAUACGUUCUAGUAUUACUUAAAAAAUUCUUUACAAAUCAAAGUAUAAAAAAAGUAGGAUAUAUUUCACAAUACUAAAAGAAACACAAAUACUGUAUAAAAUGAUUAUUUUCUCACUAUUUUAACCUAAUAACACUAAAACUUCCUUAAAUAAAAAUUUUACUUAUUAAAUCCUCUCUCAGGAACUCGGCAAACAUGAACUUUGCCUGUUUAAUAAAAACAUGUCUUUUAGAAAAAAAAUUAAAAGUCCAACCUGCCCGGUGAUAGAUUUAACGGCCGCGGUAGCCUGACCGUGCUAAGGUAGCGUAAUCAUUUGCCCUUUAAUUGUGGGCUUGUAUGAAUGGUUAGACAAGAGUUCACCUGUCUCAGAGAAGCAUUUAAAAAUUAACCUUUAGGUGCAGAGGCCUAAAUUCUAGUAAAAGACAAGAAGACCCUAUCGAGCUUUAAUCUACUUUUUUGUAUAUAAAAUAAAAAGAUUUUUAUUGGGGCAAUAUAGGAACAAACAAAGCUUCCUAAAAACCACAAGAAGUACUUUUUUAAAAAGAAACAUUAAAAAUUAUUCUGAAAAUAGCUACCGUAGGGAUAACAGACUAAUCCCCCUUGAGAGUCCACAUUGACAGGGGGGCUUGGCACCUCGAUGUUGGCUUAAGAUAACCAUUAUUUUCUGAAGCAGAACUCUAAUAUGGUAGGUUUGUUCAACCUUUAAUAUCUUA